AUGGUUCAGGACGAACAAGUGAAUGAAAGGAAAAUAUCACAGUUGAAGUCAUUUGCGAGUAAAGCAAUCGAGAGAAAUGAUUACAUUUCUGCAUCAGCGUUCUAUACCAAGGCAAUAGAUGUUGACCCUAACGAUGCAACCUUGUUCUCAAACAGGAGCCUUUGUUGGCUCCGCACUGGUGAUGGACCAAAGGCUCUGUUGGACGCUCUUCACAGCAGAGAAAUGCGGCCUGACUGGCCAAAGGCCUGCUACCGGCAGGGCGCAGCUCUGAUGUUACUGAAGGACUACAAGAGCGCAUGCGAAGUGCUUCUUGAUGGAUUCAAGUUGGACCCAGAAAAUGCCGAGAUG
This 348-nucleotide ribosomal RNA is filed under the name Triticum aestivum (bread wheat). RNAcentral's name for it is "partial small subunit ribosomal RNA". The record is from RNAcentral. Lineage: Eukaryota; Viridiplantae; Streptophyta; Magnoliopsida; Poales; Poaceae.